AAGUGGGGGACCUUAGGGCCUCACGCCAUCAGAUGUACCCAGAUGAGAUUAGCUAGUAGGUAAGGUAAUGGCUUACCUAGGCGAUGAUCUCUAGCUGGUCUGAGAGGAUGACCAGCCACACUGGAACUGAGAUACGGUCUAGACUCCUACGGGAGGCAGCAGUGGGGAAUAUUGCACAAUGGGCGCAAGCCUGAUGCAGCCAUGCCGCGUGUAUGAAGAAAGCCUUCGGGUUGUAAAGUACUUUCAGCGAGGAAGAAGGCAUUGUAGUUAAUAACUAUAAUGAUUGACGUUACUCGCAGAAGAAGCACCGGCUAACUCCGUGCCAGCAGCCGCGGUAAUACGGAGGGUGCGAGCGUUAAUCGGAAUUACUGGGCUUAAAGAGUACGCAGGCGGUUAAUUAAGUCAGAUGUGAAAUCCCCGAGCUUAACUUGGGAAUUGCAUUUGAAACUGGUCAACUAGAGUUUUGUAGAGGGGGGUAGAAUUCUAGGUGUAGCGGUGAAAUGCGUAGAUAUCUAGAGGAAUACCAGUGGCGAAGGCGGCCCCCUGGACAAAAACUGACGCUCAGGUACGAAAGCAUGGGGAGCAAACAGGAUUAGAUACCCUGGUAGUCCAUGCCGUAAACGAUGUCGACUUGGAGGUUGUGCCCUUGAGGCGUGGCUUCCGGAGCUAACGCGUUAAGUCGACCGCCUGGGGAGUACGGCCGCAAGGUUAAAACUCAAAUGAAUUGACGGGGGCCCGCACAAGCGGUGGAGCAUGUGGUUUAAUUCGAUGCAACGCGAAAAACCUUACCUACUCUUGACAUUCAGAGAAUUUGCUAGAGAUAGUUUAGUGCCUUCGGGAACUCUGAAACAGGUGCUGCAUGGCUGUCGUCAGCUCGUGUUGUGAAAUGUUGGGUUAAGUCCCGCAACGAGCGCAACCCUUAUCCUUUGUUGCCAGCACGUAAAGGUGGGAACUCAAAGGAGACUGCCGGUGAUAAACUGGAGGAAGGUGGGGAUGACGUCAAGUCAUCAUGGCCCUUACGAGUAGGGCUACACACGUGCUACAAUGGCAUAUACAAAGAGCAGCUAACUCGCGAGAGCAAGCGAACCUCAUAAAGUAUGUCGUAGUCCGGAUUGGAGUCUGCAACUCGACUCCAUAAAGUCGGAAUCGCUAGU
RNAcentral lists this ribosomal RNA (1154 nucleotides) under Candidatus Profftia tarda. RNAcentral's name for it is "bacterial SSU rRNA". It matches the Rfam family "Bacterial small subunit ribosomal RNA", at positions 202 to 1339 of the family's 1533-position model. The record is from RNAcentral. Lineage: Bacteria; Pseudomonadati; Pseudomonadota; Gammaproteobacteria; Enterobacterales; Enterobacteriaceae.